This is a long non-coding RNA of Ornithodoros turicata, 1258 nucleotides long. RefSeq lists it as uncharacterized. The record is from RefSeq and is a predicted model, not a curated record. The transcript is spliced from 2 exons. Lineage: Eukaryota; Metazoa; Arthropoda; Arachnida; Ixodida; Argasidae.
UAGUCUGCGACGUGCUCCAUCCAAGCAGCGCGAAGGGGCGUCAACAGAUGCCGGCGUGCCGCUGCAAAGCUUCCGCCUAUUAGCCCUGUUUCCUGGCGGUUCCGGUGCGGCGGACCGUGGACAACGACGAGGAUGGACACACGCAUGGAGCACCCGCUCCUGAGUUCUACCGGCACCGUCCUAGUGUGAGGCCAUGAACACAUGCCCGUUGGGACAUUCCAUCACCACCGGUCAGGACUCGUGUGGAGGAAGACCAUCUCCUCUACAGCGGAAGGCCCCGUAGCGAGGCUCUGUCACAGCGAUCGCUGUCGGUAGGAUAGUAUACGUACUUGGAACAUAAAAUUGCAGGUCUACACACUGUAAAAAAAAAAAUUAGUAAGUUUACUCACCAGUGGCUGCUAGCUCUGUUGCCUGCGUAUGUGCCGUAACCUAGUUAUUGCAAAAAAAAUCGUUUGGAGUGCACACUGCACAACUUCCAUAAGCGCAAAGAAUGUCACUCACUUUAAAGUGAGAUUAAACUGCGAAAGCCCAACCUGUACUGUGCAGGGUGAACUCCGAACGGAUUUUGUGCAGCAUAUAGGCUACGGCCCCAUAUGCCGGCAACAGAGUUAGCGGUCACUUGUGCAGUAAAAUUACGGACAUUUUCUUACAGUGCAGUAUCUCGCUACACUCCGGUUGCAGGAGUGAACCAGUUUAAGUUCAUUCAUUAGCAGUAAAUAAUAAUGAUAUGCAAAGUUGUUAGCUAGCUUAUACGUAUAAGUACAUACCCCUAGAUAACCUAAAUACGCAUAAUAAUUGAACAACUAUAGCUGAGGGGAUGUACAGAAUGAAGAAAAAUAGGUCUACCGUAACUCAACAACCAUGUGUGAAUGUCCAAAAGAUUCCACACUUAUUUUGCCGUCAGCACGCACCGCGGUCACAUUCCGCGUAUGCAAGUCCCGUAGUUUGUAAUAGUAGUAGCCUGUUUGUUUUUCUUCUUCAAGAAUGCGUGCUCAUGACUGUUUUGGAUAGUAUUGCCAGCUACGAACUGCACGUUUGCAGCGGCGAAAUCGACAGAAGAAAGGUCUACCUCCUUCACGGUUGAUUAGGAUUCACUGUGCAGUAAGACUCAUAGGUGCAUGCAGGACUCUUGUUCCUGCUUCUUCGACGUAUACCCACUUAGAGGGGGAACCUGCAUUGUAUUUGUUGCGAACGUACCAGUUAGUUUGAAUAUAAUACGUGUUGUGCCAUGUUCGAGUUAAUAAAAUUAUUUCAUUUA